AGUGAACGCUGGCGGUAGGCCUAACACAUGCAAGUCGAACGGCAGCACAGUAAGAGCUUGCUCUUACGGGUGGCGAGUGGCGGACGGGUGAGGAAUACGUCGGAAUCUACUUUUUCGUGGGGGAUAACGUAGGGAAACUUACGCUAAUACCGCAUACGACCUACGGGUGAAAGCAGGGGAUCUUCGGACCUUGCGCGAUUGAAUGAGCCGAUGUCGGAUUAGCUAGUUGGCGGGGUAAAGGCCCACCAAGGCGACGAUCCGUAGCUGGUCUGAGAGGAUGAUCAGCCACACUGGAACUGAGACACGGUCCAGACUCCUACGGGAGGCAGCAGCGGGGAAUAUUGGACAAAGGGCGCAAGCCUGAUCCAGCCAUACCGCGUGGGUGAAGAAGGCCUUCGGGUUGUAAAGCCCUUUUGUUGGGAAAGAAAAGCAGCAGGUUAAUACCCCGCUGUUCUGACGGUACCCAAAGAAUAAGCACCGGCUAACUUCGUG
RNAcentral lists this ribosomal RNA (492 nucleotides) under uncultured bacterium. Its description in RNAcentral is "partial 16S ribosomal RNA". It matches the Rfam family "Bacterial small subunit ribosomal RNA", at positions 29 to 507 of the family's 1533-position model. The record is from RNAcentral.